UACGUAGGGGGCUAGCGUUGUCCGGAAUCAUUGGGCGUAAAGAGCGUGUAGGCGGUCCGGUAAGUCCGCUGUGAAAGUCGGGGGCUCAACCCUCGAAUGCCGGUGGAUACUGUCGGGCUAGAGUGCGGAAGAGGCGAGUGGAAUUCCUGGUGUAGCGGUGAAAUGCGCAGAUAUCAGGAGGAACACCUAUUGCGAAGGCAGCUCGCUGGGACGUAACUGACGCUGAGACGCGAAAGCUAGGGGAGCGAACGGG
This 253-nucleotide ribosomal RNA is filed under the name uncultured bacterium. RNAcentral's name for it is "partial 16S ribosomal RNA". It matches the Rfam family "Bacterial small subunit ribosomal RNA", at positions 524 to 776 of the family's 1533-position model. The record is from RNAcentral.